RNAcentral lists this ribosomal RNA (505 nucleotides) under uncultured bacterium. Its description in RNAcentral is "partial 16S ribosomal RNA". It matches the Rfam family "Bacterial small subunit ribosomal RNA", at positions 28 to 507 of the family's 1533-position model. The record is from RNAcentral.
GACGAACGCUGGCGGCGUGCCUAAUACAUGCAAGUCGAACGCACAGUUUAUACCGUAGCUUGCUACACCAUAGACUGUGAGUUGCGAGCGGGUGAGUAACGCGUAGGUAACCUGCCUGGUAGCGGGGGAUAACUAUUGGAAACGAUAGCUAAUACCGCAUGAUAUUGAUUAUUGCAUGAUAAUUGAUUGAAAGAUGCUAUUGCAUCACUACCAGAUGGACCUGCGUUGUAUUAGCUAGUAGGUGAGGUAACGGCUCACCUAGGCGGCGAUACAGAGCCGACCUGAGAGGGUGGUCGGCCACACUGGGACUGAGACACGGCCCAGACGCCUACGGGAGGCAGCAGGAGGGGAUCUUCGGCAAUGGACGGAAGACUGAGCGAGCAACGCCGCGUGAGGGAAGAAGGGUUUCGGGUCGGAAAGCUCUGUUGUAAGGGAAGAAAGGGUGUGAGAGUGGAAAGUUCACACUGUGACGGUAACUGAUCAGAAAGCAACGGCUAACUACGUG